GCACCUUCUGGAUUUGGAUAUAACGGGAAAUCAGCUGCAAAAUAUGGUGGUGGAGAGACUCCCUACGCGCCACAGAUUCUUGGUUUUGGAGAAGCAAARUCAGGAAAAUACGGUAAACAGGAAGCUCAGCAGUCUCAGCCUCUUGAAUCUGCAGCUGGAGGUAGAAAACAUGAAGAACGCAUUAUUAAAACUGCUAUAAUGGAUUAAAGAUGUGGUGCAUGAUUGGCUUUAGCAGAUACGACGAGUU
Poecilia reticulata (guppy) is the source of this 247-nucleotide non-coding RNA. The record is from RefSeq and is a predicted model, not a curated record. Lineage: Eukaryota; Metazoa; Chordata; Actinopteri; Cyprinodontiformes; Poeciliidae.